Pteropus alecto (black flying fox) is the source of this 1382-nucleotide long non-coding RNA. RefSeq lists it as uncharacterized. The transcript has 2 exons. NCBI's taxonomy places the organism in Eukaryota, Metazoa, Chordata, Mammalia, Chiroptera, Pteropodidae. The record is from RefSeq and is a predicted model, not a curated record.
CGCCGCCAGCAGCCGGAGCCGGACUCACUGACAAGCCGCAGAGAGAGACACACAGAGAGGGAGAUGAUUAUUAGUUGCGUUGAGUCAUCAGGCAAAAUCUCGGAGAACCCCGCACCCAGGCACCGCCCACCAAGUUCCGAAGGAGCGGGAGAAGACUCCGGAGGCGAUCGGAUCCCAGCCGAGAGAGAAAGCCAGCUGGACAGUAAACCUUCAAGGAGCCACCCUAAGAGUUUUAGGCAGCGUUUUCUUUUCCCUACUUUUUAUUUCCCAAACCCCAUCCUCCCCACCUCCCAAACGAACGGGUUACAGAAAAUGCACAAUUCAAGUCUGUGAGAAAAAAGUGGCUCGAGUAAAUCAACUCGUGGUGGUAGCUAAAAGGGUUUUUUGGCUGCAAAGAAACAAACUGUAAGUUUGAUCGACAAACUUUUUUCUUUAUAAGUAAUAUCACGUUGGAAUGGGAAGGGGAUGUUGCAAAAACCAAGUGCCAUGUCAAAGUUUGAGCCCGUUUUCAAAAUGGGGAAAGGCGCAUUUCUUAUUAAUAUAUCUCAACAACGAUAACAAUGCUGUUUGUUUCCUUACCUCGGUAUCGAACUGCAGAAUCCUCCUCCGAAUCAAUGUCCAGAAACUUAGAAGAAUUGGUGAUAUUAGGACUUCAGUACUUCUGGAAAAAAAAAUGCAAAUGGUUUAGCCAGGAUCUUUCCUGUCUGAUUCGUCACUAUUAUUAUAUCUGAUGAUGCGAAUGGUUGGAGCGAUUCAAUCUUAAGUCAUUAAUGAGCUAUUUUAUAAACAUCGUUGUUUGAAGAUCAUUUACAUUUUGCAAAGGAUCACUUCGCUAACCUCACAGGCUUAUGUCAACAGCAUGAUUAUGGAACUUAAGUCACACUCUUAUAAACAACAUAGCCGUAUUGUUAAUCGGUUAAUAUUUUAUAAAGUGUAAAUAUUUUAUUAUGUUUCGAAGGGAACUAUUGAUUCUAAAUUAUUAAACCUCUGAGAGAGGCGAUUUAAAUAAAGUAUACAAUUAAGUACAAUUAAAUGUACAUUGUGGCUAGUAUGUUUUCAGAUUCUGCACCCAUUUAAAUUUAGGGAUUUUCUCUUAUCACAGUUUCCUCUUGUCCGUUUUUGACAGUGAAAAAAAAUCUAUCAUUUUGGGCAAAAGAGCUCAAAAUAUUUAAAAUUGCAUUUAGCACAGAGAGAAAUGUGGAACAUUAUGAAUUAUUGUCAGAAGUGUAUUUCGAAUAUUUGUAGAUUUAUGUUUAGUAACACAUUUUACAAAUUUAUUUCGAUUUAAAAAAGAACUCUAAGAAGUUUUGUGAUGUAUACCUAGUGUGUUUUUUUCUCUUGAAUUUUGUCCCUAAUAAAGGCCUUUUCUGUUUCCAACUGCA